GAUGAACGCUAGCUACAGGCUUAACACAUGCAAGUCGAGGGGAAACGAUGAGAGAGCUUGCUCUCUUAGUCGUCGACCGGCGCACGGGUGAGUAACGCGUAUCCAACCUGCCUCUGACCAAGGGAUAACCCGUCGAAAGUCGGACUAAUACCUUAUGCAGUCGUCGGAAGUCAUCUGAUGACGACGAAAGAUUUCAUCGGUGAGAGAUGGGGAUGCGUCUGAUUAGCUUGUUGGCGGGGUAACGGCCCACCAAGGCGACGAUCAGUAGGGGUUCUGAGAGGAAGGUCCCCCACAUUGGAACUGAGACACGGUCCAAGCUCCUACGGGAGGCAGCAGUGAGGAAUAUUGGUCAAUGGGCGUAAGCCUGAACCAGCCAAGUAGCGUGCAGGAUGACGGCCCUAUGGGUUGUAAACUGCUUUUAUGCUGGGAUAAAGUGAGGGACGUGUCCUUCAUUGCAGGUACCGCAUGAAUAAGGACCGGCUAAUUCCGUG
RNAcentral lists this ribosomal RNA (491 nucleotides) under uncultured bacterium. RNAcentral's name for it is "partial 16S ribosomal RNA". It matches the Rfam family "Bacterial small subunit ribosomal RNA", at positions 28 to 507 of the family's 1533-position model. The record is from RNAcentral.